This 1105-nucleotide long non-coding RNA is filed under the name Pan troglodytes (chimpanzee). Its description in RNAcentral is "long non-coding RNA NONPTRT002707". The record is from RNAcentral. Lineage: Eukaryota; Metazoa; Chordata; Mammalia; Primates; Hominidae.
UGGGGCUCAGAGGUGUUAGAUGACUUGUCCUGGGGCUGAGGACUCAUGCUUGUGAGGCCUCUGGCCUCAGCCGUGUCCCUCCUGAUCCCUUUUCUACCUCUCCACCCCCAGGCUUCACAAGGGCUGUGGCGCCGGCUGCAAUAGUGGCGGGAACGUGGAUGAUUCAGACUGUAGUGGGGGCGGUGGCCUGACCUCCCUCAGCAAUAACCCCCCCGUGGCACACCCCACACCUGAGAACACGGCAGGCAAUGGUGACCAACCCCUCCCACCAGGCCCUGGCUGGGGGCCGCGGUCCUCCCUGAGUGGCUCUGGUGAUGGGCGGCCCCCACCUCUGCUGCAGUGGCCUCCCCCUCGGCUCCCUGGACCACCCCCUGCAUCGCCUAUCCCCACAGAGGGUCCCCGGACCUCACGGCCCCCUGGCCCGGGUCUCCUCAGUUCUGAGGGCCCCAGUGGGAAGUGGAGCCUGGGGGGCCGGAAGGGGCUGGGAGGAUCUGACGGGGAGCCAGCCUCAGGGAGCCCCAAAGGAGGUACCCCCAAAUCUCAGGCGCCUCUAGACCUCAGCCUCAGCCUCAGCCCCGAUGUCAGCACUGAGGCCUCACCCCCCAGAGCUUCCCAGGACAUUCCUUGCUUGGACAGCAGUGCCCCUGAGAGUGGCACACCUAUGGGUGCCCUGGGCGACUGGCCUGCCCCUAUUGAGGAGCGUGAGAGCCCGGCAGCCCAGCCCCUGCUGGAACACCAGUACUGAGCUACCUGGCGCCCACUGGACCUCCUCCUAGGAUUCAGUAACGGACCUGCUCUGCUGCCUCUCUGCUGGACCACAGAACUGAGUGGCUUUGGCCUACAUGUCUGAACCCUGACCUUUGGCUGCCUUGGCCAGAGUGCCAAAACUGAGUGACCCAGACCUCUGACCUUGACCCCUGAUCUCUCUCAUCCCCAGUCCAGGGCCUGGGCUCCCCAGAUGGAGGCAGUCAGCCUCCCAGCCAGGCCCUAAGAGCCAAACCAUGGGCUGGUCCCACUUGGAGCCUGUGGCCAGGACCACUUCAGCCCCUGGGCCUGCACUGCCUGCAGGGGUGGCCCCCUUGGCCUGGACCUGGGGCCUGAAUUG